This 914-nucleotide ribosomal RNA is filed under the name uncultured Nitrososphaerota archaeon. RNAcentral's name for it is "bacterial SSU rRNA". It matches the Rfam family "Archaeal small subunit ribosomal RNA", at positions 1 to 921 of the family's 1478-position model. Lineage: Archaea; Thermoproteati; Nitrososphaerota. The record is from RNAcentral.
UUCCGGUUGAUCCUGCCGGACCUGACUGCUAUCGGAUUGAUACUAAGCCAUGCGAGUCAUUGUAGCAAUACAAGGCAUACGGCUCAGUAACGCGUAGUCAACCUACCCUAUGGACGGAAAUAACCUCGGGAAACUGAGAAUAAUAUCCGAUAGAACAUUAUGCCUGGAAUGGUUUAUGUUCCAAAUGAUUUAUCGCCGUAGGAUGGGACUGCGGCCUAUCAGUUUGUUGGUGAGGUAAUGGCCCACCAAGACUAUUACAGGUACGGGCUCUGAGAGGAGUAGCCCGGAGAUGGGUACUGAGACACGGACCCAGGCCCUAUGGGGCGCAGCAGGCGAGAAAACUUUGCAAUGUGCGAAGGCACGACAAGGUUAAUCCGAGUGAUUUCUGCUAAAGAAAUCUUUUGUUAGUCCUAGAAACACUAACGAAUAAGGGGUGGGCAAGUUCUGGUGUCAGCCGCCGCGGUAAAACCAGCACCUCAAGUGGUCAGGAUGAUUAUUGGGCCUAAAGCAUCCGUAGCCGGCUCUGUAAGUCCUCGGUUAAAUCUGUACGCUUAACGUACAGGCUGCCGGGAAUACUGCAUAGCUAGGGAGUGGGAGAGGUAGACGGUACUCGGUAGGAAGGGGUAAAAUCCUUUGAUCUAUUGAUGACCACCUGUGGCGAAGGCGGUCUACCAGAACACGUCCGACGGUGAGGGAUGAAAGCUGGGGGAGCAAACCGGAUUAGAUACCCGGGUAGUCCCAGCUGUAAACUAUGCAAACYCAGUGAUGCAUUGGCUUGUGGCCAAUGCAGUGCUGCAGGGAAGCCGUUAAGUUUGCCGCCUGGGGAAGUACGUACGCAAGUAUGAAACUUAAAGGAAUUGGCGGGGGAGCACCACAARGGGUGAAGCCUGCGGUUCAAUUGGAGUCAACGCCGG